AUGGUGUCCACAUCUCAGCUCAUUGUGCUUUUGCUCUUCUGGGUUUCAGCCUCCAGAGGUGACAUUGUCCUGACCCAGUCUUUAGCCACUCUGUCUGUGACUCUAGGAGAUAAAGUCAUCAUCACCUGUAGGGCCAGCCAGGGUAUUAGCAGUUACUUACACUGGUAUCAGCAAAAAACAAAUCAAGCUCCAAGGUAUGCUUCCAAGUUCAUCUCUGGGAUUGCCUCCAGCUUCAGUGGCAGUUCAUCAGGGACAGAUUUCACUCUCAGCAUCAACAGUCUGGAGACUGAAGAUGUUGUGAGUUAUUGGUGUCAGCGGGGUAACAUUUGGCCUCCCACAGUGGUGCAGACCAUAGCAAAAUCCACCAGGGAAGCAGAAGUGUGA
This is a non-coding RNA of Peromyscus eremicus (cactus mouse), 384 nucleotides long. Lineage: Eukaryota; Metazoa; Chordata; Mammalia; Rodentia; Cricetidae. The record is from the annotation of a RefSeq genome assembly.